Molecule: ribosomal RNA, 253 nt
Filed under: uncultured bacterium
Lineage: Bacteria
Description: partial 16S ribosomal RNA
Rfam family: Bacterial small subunit ribosomal RNA
Source: RNAcentral
UACAGAGGUCUCAAGCGUUGUUCGGAUUCAUUGGGCGUAAAGGGUGCGUAGGCGGCGCGGUAAGUCGGGUGUGAAAUCUCGGGGCUUAACUCCGAAACUGCAUUCGAUACUGCCGUGCUUGAGGACUGGAGAGGAGACUGGAAUUUACGGUGUAGCGGUGAAAUGCGUAGAUAUCGUAAGGAAGACCAAUGGCGAAGGCGGGUCUCUGGACAGUUCCUGACGCUGAGGCACGAAGGUCAGGGGAGCAAACGGG